Molecule: ribosomal RNA, 423 nt
Filed under: uncultured bacterium
Lineage: Bacteria
Description: partial 16S ribosomal RNA
Rfam family: Bacterial small subunit ribosomal RNA
Source: RNAcentral
GAAUUUUGGACAAUGGGCGAAAGCCUGAACCAGCAAUGCCGCGUGCAGGAUGAAGGCCUUCGGGUUGUAAACUGCUUUUGUACGGAACGAAAAGCUUUGGGUUAAUACCCUGGAGUCAUGACGGUAACGGCAGAAUAAGCAACGGGUCACUAAGUGACAACAGCCGCGGUAAUACGUAGGGUGCAAGCGUUAAUCUGAAUGACUGGGCGUAAAGCGUGCGCAGGCGUUUUUGUAAGACAGUGGUGAAAUCCCCUGGCUCAACCUGGGAACUGCCGUUGUGACUGCAAGGCUAGAGUACGGCAGAGGGGGGUGGAAUUCCGCGUGUAGCAGUGAAAUGCGUAGAUAUGCGGAGGAACACCGAUGGCGAAGGCAACCCCCUGGGCCUGUACUGACGCUCAUGCACGAAAGCGUGGGGAGCAAACA